RNAcentral lists this long non-coding RNA (637 nucleotides) under Setaria viridis. RNAcentral's name for it is "long non-coding RNA (SVIR_LNC007642)". Lineage: Eukaryota; Viridiplantae; Streptophyta; Magnoliopsida; Poales; Poaceae. The record is from RNAcentral.
GAACAUAGGAAGAUCUCGUACCUGGUUGACGAAAGGAGAAGAAAAGGAGGAGGAUGAAGAAGACAUCUUGGUAAAUAGCCUGAUGGAAUAAACUACCAGAGAGGAAAAGGAUGAGCAAGGCGAAUGCCCUUGGAAGCGAUACGGGGUCUUGUACUUAUAGAAAGAAAAGGGGCGAAGGUUUGGUAAGACGCGUCCCAUCGGAGUAAAAAGGGUAAUGAAUGAAAGGCCGCCACGAAGGACGGGUCAAGAUUGAAUUCGUACGUCAAACGAUCAAAAGACAUUAAUGUUUUUACAAGAACAGCUAGCACUUUUAUAGUUCAUCCAAGGAGGGCAUUUAUGGCCGCAAUCGCUCGUUGCCUAACUUGAUCGGCCAAGUCUAAAACUCGCUGGUCAUCAUCGGCCGAUCCUGGGACUUCUGGCAUAUGGCGAUGAAGUCUAAUUGCCUCGUGGGCCAGAUGCAGUCUCUCUUGCUUCAGAUCGGCGAUGACAGAAGGGAGGUCUUGGAAUCUCUUCUCUUCAACGGCUAUGUCUUUGGUCAUCUGCUCCAUCUCCUUGGCAAGCUCCGCUCUUCGGCGCUUGAGGCGAUCUAUAGUACCAACAAUAUCCGAGCAGGAAUUUUCAAGGAAAUGGAUCCGGU